UGGCGGCAGGCCUAACACAUGCAAGUNGAGCGAGACCUUCGGGUCUAGCGGCGGACGGGUUAGUAACGCGUGGGAACGUGCCCUUUGCUACGGAAUAGUCCCGGGAAACUGGGUUUAAUACCGUAUGUNCCCUUCGGGGGAAAGAUUUAUCGGCAAAGGAUCGGCCCGCGUUGGAUUAGGUAGUUGGUGGGGUAACGGCCUACCAAGCCGACGAUCCAUAGCUGGUUUGAGAGGAUGAUCAGCAACACACUCCUACGGGAGGCAGCAGUGGGGAAUCUUAGACAAUGGGGGAAACCCUGAUCUACCCAUGCCGCGUGGACGAUGAAGGCCUUAGGGUUGUAAAGUCCUUUCAGCUGGGAAGAUAAUGACGGUACCAGCAGAAGAAGCCCCGGCUAACUCCGUGCCAGCAGCCGCGGUAAUACGGAGGGGGCUAGCGUUGUUCGGAAUUACUGGGCGUAAAGCGCACGUAGGCGGGU
RNAcentral lists this ribosomal RNA (476 nucleotides) under Thioclava pacifica. Its description in RNAcentral is "bacterial SSU rRNA". It matches the Rfam family "Bacterial small subunit ribosomal RNA", at positions 37 to 580 of the family's 1533-position model. Lineage: Bacteria; Pseudomonadati; Pseudomonadota; Alphaproteobacteria; Rhodobacterales; Paracoccaceae. The record is from RNAcentral.